Dermacentor albipictus is the source of this 1816-nucleotide long non-coding RNA. RefSeq lists it as uncharacterized. The record is from RefSeq and is a predicted model, not a curated record. Lineage: Eukaryota; Metazoa; Arthropoda; Arachnida; Ixodida; Ixodidae.
GUCACUGUGCGUGCACGCUGCACUGACGCCGACCGAUGUUGUGGUUUAAUCGUGUGUACGCAGUGCCGAGAGAAGUUGUGGUGCUUUUUGUCUGUAAAAUGAUCCGAUACCACUGGGACUGCUUAACGUAGCUCGUAUUAUCUUUCGUGUGGUGCGCCGAUGUCAAUUAUUGUAGUUAUGGCCCGUUCGCGCUUUCUUUGCUACCGGCGCAUGAAAAGCCGCUGGUACUCUCGCUACGCUCGCAUUGGAUCCCCGUGCACGAAAGAAUUUGCAGAAAUUUGUGCUAUGCCGUGCUAUAGUUCAUCUGCAAUUCUACAGUGUUUACGCCGGAAGCACCUUACACCGACUGUCUUUGCCGCGGUACUCUUGGGAUGCCACGGCACCUGUGUCACGAAGGAGAGUUUGCCGAGUACGCCUAGAAAGGGAUGGCACAAUAUUGUGAGCCAGAGGCAUCUCUACACCACCUGGGAACCUGCGACACUCCUGCAGCCUGAAAAUCCCGUCAAAGCACCUGAUCUGCAUGCUGCAACAAGCAUAUACAUGCAGCAAGUUGUAGUGCGCGGACCUCGAAUCGAAGAGGAGCCCAGGUUCCAUGCUGGAGAAAAUGGGGCCCAAAGGCGACUCUUCUUCCAAAGAAUGAAGUGGCGAAUAAAGAUUCGUGCUCACUGCUUCAUCGUCCGAUGUGCGGUCACAGGCAGUGUGACACGCGAAGUUAACGAGAAAAAAAGGCACACAAGUGAAGCGCAAACUAUCUGCUGAGUUUGAUGAACAAGAAGGAAUAAUUUAUACCCGUAGCUGCUAUCACCAGCUGCAGGUUACAUGUGGUAAAAGAGCAGAAAAGAUAAUCGGAAUGAAUCAGAACUGACAAGGUGACCAACUUGAAUCAUAUGUAGGCGGUAUGUUAGAAACUGUGCUCGAUGAUGAGUUGUGACACACGGUCACUCACGCAGGCUUGAGCACCAGCCACAACGUUGCAGAAUGCUCCCACAUCUCUCGUAAUUUUAUGCUUGCUUCUGAGCAGGAUUUCCGCGCUGUCAAAAGAUUGUGAGCAACCCCAUAUCGUGCAGUGCGCAUCCAAGUUGUCCGGUGCAUUUACUAGGCUGACAGCAUAUCCGUGAUCCCUGAGCCUCUGAUUCCAGUACCGGCACAUUUGCCGAAUGUAUGCGCAGUUGCAUGUGAGCUGUACCUUGUAAAUGAGUCCCUCUUUUAUCCGACGUGCGCAUAUUCGUCAUGUACGAAGAGGCAGUCGUUUACAAGUACUGCUCACCAGCAACUAUGCUUACUUUGAAUAAAUGGGCUGGCGCUUGAAUGGGAACACGUAUACGUCCUCGGCCUAUUAAAUGCACCAGACAACUUGGCUCCGCACCGCAUGAGAUGCGGUAUCACAUGGUCACAAGUGACGAGAGAGAUAUGGGAAUCAUUGUGUGAGGUUGCUGAUGGUGUUGAAGCCUACAUGAGUGAGCUGUCUGUGCCCCUAGCUGAUCAAGUGAGUCGUCUUUUCGGUUCUGACUCAUUCCGAGUUUCUUUUCUCCGCUUUUUUUUGUGCAUGUAACUUUCAGUCGAUACCUAGCAGCUAUGGGCAUAAAUCCUUCUUAUUCACUAAACUCGGCUGACAGUUCGCGCUUCACUUGUGUGUUCUAGUUUCCCCUAAAUUUGUGUGUCAAACCGCAACAAACGAUGAGGCUAUACUAACUACAGCUUUUUUUAAGCUUUGCAUAGUUUCCUUAUUCACUACUUCAUUCCAUGUAAGAGAUAUUAUUGUUUCGGACUAGGCAGCCGUGAAGAAAUCACAGACAAAUAAAGAGUGCAAAGAACA